GACGAACGCUGGCGGCGUGCCUAAUACAUGCAAGUCGAACGAGAGCAACCGGUGCUUGCACUGGUCAAUCUAGUGGCGAACGGGUGAGUAACACGUGGGUAACCUGCCCAUCAGAGGGGGAUAACAUCCGGAAACGGAUGCUAAAACCGCAUAGGUCUUCGAACCGCAUGGUUUGAAGAGGAAAAGAGGCGCAAGCUUCUGCUGAUGGAUGGACCCGCGGUGCAUUAGCUAGUUGGUGAGGUAACGGCUCACCAAGGCCGUGAUGCAUAGCCGACCUGAGAGGGUGAUCGGCCACAUUGGGACUGAGACACGGCCCAAACUCCUACGGGAGGCAGCAGUAGGGAAUCUUCCGCAAUGGACGCAAGUCUGACGGAGCAACGCCGCGUGAGUGAAGAAGGUGUUCGGAUCGUAAAACUCUGUUGUUAGAGAAGAACAAGUGCUAGAGUAACUGUUAGCGCCUUGACGGUAUCUAACCAGAAAGCCACGGCUAUCUACGUG
RNAcentral lists this ribosomal RNA (498 nucleotides) under uncultured bacterium. Its description in RNAcentral is "partial 16S ribosomal RNA". It matches the Rfam family "Bacterial small subunit ribosomal RNA", at positions 28 to 507 of the family's 1533-position model. The record is from RNAcentral.